AGGAGAACACAGGGAGGGGGGUGAGCAGAAGCGGAGAUGAGGAGAAAACAGGGAGGGGGGGUGAGGAGCUCUAAGCAGUAUUUGCACUGUAAACCUUUUUUAUUUAUAUAAAGUGUGGGUGAACUUAAACUGUAUGGCUAUGCUGUGGUUCCUGUAGGCUUUGCGUGCGUGGGGGGACCUCCAUGUCCAUUUUGCUUGGGGCCCCCAAAUUCCUAAAACUGCCCUGUAUAUAUAUAUAUAUAUAUAUAUAUUGUUACCAAAGCAAGGAAUUGUGCAGGAUGGAGUCUAUAUUUCUCCCCAGAUUCUGCAAGGUUCCUACUUUAUGUAAUGCUGAAGAUUAGCCCCAGGGAAAUGUUUUGUUUUAAAAUUAAUAUUGCACUUUAUAUUAGUGUGUGUUUGGGCCAUGGGAUGAAGCACUUGGAGAGUAGUGUGGGUCAGUACUCCACUCCAUAUUUUGAAAGUUUGCAUUGAAAGUGCAGGUGAGGAGUCCAGUUCCAGGUUUCAACACUCUGAUUUACCUCACCUGAAAAAUUUCAUAGUUAACAUAGUUAAAAUCGUUAAUUGCAGGUGCUUUUAAGUACUCCCCUGCCAAAGAAGGAGGAGAGAUGGUGUUUGAUUCCUGUGAGUUGAAAGAGAAAACUGAGAGAACCUAAAACCGUAACGUGGAUAUUUGUUUAUGUUGGGAAAUGGACAAGACAUCCAGUUAGUUUAUUAUUUUGUUAAGUUAGUGCUCAGAAGAGCAAGGAUUUUUUAUUUUUUUUGUUAUACUUAACUGCACAUUGUUGAAUUUUGGAACUACAAUAAUUUUACAUCAUCCAGUGUGUGAAGUGUCUCUGAAUCCUGAAAAGACUAUGUAACAUCCUAAUCCCAGGAUAAGGUACCAAAGGGGG
Non-coding RNA from Pelobates cultripes (western spadefoot toad), 890 nucleotides. NCBI's taxonomy places the organism in Eukaryota, Metazoa, Chordata, Amphibia, Anura, Pelobatidae. The record is from the annotation of a GenBank genome assembly.